This 98-nucleotide ribosomal RNA is filed under the name Chamaecrista desvauxii. RNAcentral describes it as "partial 26S ribosomal RNA". It matches the Rfam family "Eukaryotic large subunit ribosomal RNA", at positions 1 to 98 of the family's 3401-position model. Lineage: Eukaryota; Viridiplantae; Streptophyta; Magnoliopsida; Fabales; Fabaceae. The record is from RNAcentral. RNAcentral also lists the same sequence under 14 other names.
CGACCCCAGGUCAGGCGGGGCUACCCGCUGAGUUUAAGCAUAUCAAUAAGCGGAGGAAAAGAAACUAACAAGGAUUCCCCUAGUAACGGCGAGCGAAC